UACAGAGGUCCCAAGCGUUGUUCGGAUUCAUUGGGCGUAAAGGGUGCGUAGGCUGUGUCAUAAGUCGGAUGUGAAAUCCCGGGGCUCAACCCUGGAACUGCAUUCGAUACUGUGGUACUAGAGGACUCUAGAGGAAAUUGGAAUUCACGGUGUAGCAGUGAAAUGCGUAGAUAUCGUGAGGAAGACCAGUGGCGAAGGCGGAUUUCUGGAGAGUUCCUGACGCUGAGGCACGAAGGCCAGGGGAGCAAACGGG
Molecule: ribosomal RNA, 253 nt
Filed under: uncultured bacterium
Lineage: Bacteria
Also listed under: 1 other name
Description: partial 16S ribosomal RNA
Rfam family: Bacterial small subunit ribosomal RNA
Source: RNAcentral